GACAGAGGGUGCAAACGUUGCUCGGAAUCACUGGGCGUAAAGGGCGUGUAGGCGGGAAGGAAAGUCAGAUGUGAAUCCCUGGGCUCAACCCAGGAACUGCAUUUGAAACUCCCUUUCUUGAGUACCGGAGAGGAAGGUGGAAUACCUGGUGUAGAGGUGAAAUUCGUAGAUAUCAGGUGGAACACCAGUGGCGAAAGGCGGCCUUCUGGACGGUAACUGACGCUGGAGACGCGAAAGCGUGGGGGAGCAAACAGG
RNAcentral lists this ribosomal RNA (255 nucleotides) under uncultured bacterium. RNAcentral's name for it is "partial 16S ribosomal RNA". It matches the Rfam family "Bacterial small subunit ribosomal RNA", at positions 524 to 776 of the family's 1533-position model. The record is from RNAcentral.